GACGAACCGUGCGAACGUUGUUCGGAAUCACUGGGCUUAAAGGGCGCGUAGGCGGUCUGCCAAGUCUGGGGUGAAAUCCUCCGGCUCAACCGGAGAACGGCCUCGGAUACUGGCGGUCUCGAGGGAGGUAGGGGCGUGCGGAACUAAGGGUGGAGCGGUGAAAUGCGUUGAUAUCCUUAGGAACUCCGGUGGCGAAGGCGGCUCGCUGGAUCUUUUCUGACGCUGAGGCGCGAAAGCUAGGGGAGCAAACGGG
RNAcentral lists this ribosomal RNA (253 nucleotides) under uncultured bacterium. RNAcentral's name for it is "partial 16S ribosomal RNA". It matches the Rfam family "Bacterial small subunit ribosomal RNA", at positions 524 to 776 of the family's 1533-position model. The record is from RNAcentral.